Molecule: long non-coding RNA, 2236 nt
Filed under: Homo sapiens (human)
Lineage: Eukaryota; Metazoa; Chordata; Mammalia; Primates; Hominidae
Description: HSALNT0382457
Source: RNAcentral
GUGAGGGGCUGAGGGUGGCUUGGUGCUGGCCUGCAGGUGCCCAUUGGUACAAGCAGCCUGGGUGCCUUGGUCAGCACAGCAGGCAGAUGGGCUCCUGGGUGGAGGGGGGCAGGUCCCUGGUGAGGCUCCACUUUCAGGCCAAGGAAGGUCUGAAGGCUGGGGACUGGGCUGCCAAUCCUAUGGACCAGAGUGGAGACUUGUGUCUUUUCUGGCCCGCCUGUGUCUGCCCACGGACCAAUUGGUGCUCACUUCCUUCCCUCUGAGGCCCAUAAAAGCCGUGGGCUCAGCCGGAGCAGAGCAGAGCUGAGGACACAGGGAUGACUGGACUACCAGCUGGAGAGAGGAGCUACCCUCUCUGCUAGGGGCCGAACACUCCUCCGGACACCCUGGCUACAGUGCAGGACAAGAACUUAGGACUGCAGGACAAGAACUCGAGACCCACACAAUGAGUCCUAAUCAGUUGGCACACAUUAUCUCAUUUCAUCCUCUCAACAGCCCUAUAGUGUAUGUGCUGUUAUUGUUCAUUCAUACUUUGAUAAUGAACAAACUGCGACUCAGAGAAGUAGAGUAACUUGCCCAAAGUCAACAGCUGGUAAGCGGAGCUGGGACUCAAACCCAGUUUAUUUGAACUUCAAAGCCUUGGUGCUCAGCCUUUUCAUCCUGGUUGAGAACUAGAGUCAAAGCUGUAUCCUUUUUCCAGGCCCUGGCAAUCUAGGGCAUGGAUAGUAAUGACAAAAGACAGCUGGGACAAUAGUCAGCAAUGUAUGGACUGGCCUUUCCUCAGCACUGCCUUCCUCAUUUCUCAGCACCACCAGGCUCGACCCAGCACAGCUCAUCCACCCACCCCAAUGACAGAAUGCAGCCAGAACUGUGGUCAAUAUGGAGUGGCACCUUUGAGAGAGGGCCUCUGAGCAAGUUCCUGUGCCUGUUUCUUUCAACGAGGAUAACUACUUCCACCUGCCUUUGUAAUUUGUUCCUGGGACAAAGAAAGCCUCUUGAGGAGGCUGGCCUGCCCUGCAUAUGUUGGAUAAACGCUUGAAAUAUGGACCUGUCCCCAUCUCUCGCCUUUCCCCGGAAUUCAGGACUGAAUGGAUGCUGCCUGCAUUUUGGGGAGUGGGAGUUUUGCUUUUCCUUUGCUUUGCUACUUACUCACUCUGAUGAACAAGGAGGAGACUGACAGCUUCACAGUCCUGGAUCAUUUCCUGCCCUGUUCUCCCAUCCAGCUCAUGGAAGUCAGCAACUCCAUCCACUCAUUGCACAGAGACCAGAAAGGGGAAGGGAUUUUCUCACUGUCUCACAGCAACUAAUGGCCAAGCUGUGGUGGGCGUCUUGGUGGUCUGAUUCCAAUUCAAGUUGGAGUGAGAGAGUGAGAAGAUUAUGGGCUGUGGCCUCAAGCCAACCAGGGUCUAAACCCAGCAUUGCCUCUGGCUUACUUGUGUCUCCUCUGCUUCCUCAUUCUUAGAAUGGAAAUCAUCAUCAUCAUCUCAUAGAAGUGUUAUGGGCAACAGACAGGAUAAUGUACAUGAAGCUCAUACAGCCUUAGGAUUAAAACCAGUGAAGACCCAAACGACUGUACCUGGGAAUUUAAGAUAAACAGGGUGUGUUACUGCCUGGCACAAACUGGGAAUUUGUGCAAAGGUAAGAUACCAAGCAGGACAGUAUUUCUCCUUGAGGGACCGUGAAAUCUUCUCAUCAUUUAAGCUUAUGAAACGAGGUGGAGCCUCAUUUCUUAAAGGGGGAAAUGCAAAUCAAAACUACCUGGGUAUCAUAUGAAAUUAUACCUUGAUAAAGCUGAUUUUUAAAACAUUACCCUGAGAAUUGUAAAGAUCAACAGUCCUGAUAACAAGCCAGGCAUCGUGGCUCAUGCCUGUAGUUCCAACUACUUGAGAGGCUGAGGUGGGAGGAUUGCUGGAGCCCAGGAGUUUGAGGCCAGCCUGGGCAGCAUAGCAAGACCCUCUUAAAAAAAUAAAAUCCUGGCCAGGCGCGGUGGCUCAUGCCUGUAAUCCCAGCACUUUGGGAGGCCGAGGUGGGCAGAUCACGAGGUCAGGAGAUCGAGACAAUCCUGGCUAACACGGUGAAAUCCCGUCUCUACUAAAAAUACAAAAAAUUAGCCGGGCAUAGUGGCAGGCACCUGUAGUCCCAGCUACUCGGGAGGCCGAGGCAGGAGAAUGGUGUGAACCCAGGAGGCGGAGCUUGCAGUGAGCCAAAAUCGCGCCACUGCACUCCAGCCUGGGUG